GAUGAACGCUGGCGGCGUGCCUAAUACAUGCAAGUCGAGCGAACGGACGAGAAGCUUGCUCCUCUGAUGUUAGCGGCGGACGGGUGAGUAACACGUGGAUAACCUACCUAUAAGACUGGGAUAACUUCGGGAAACCGGAGCUAAUACCGGAUAAUAUUUUGAACCGCAUGGUUCAAAAGUGAAAGACGGUUUUGCUGUCACUUAUAGAUGGAUCCGCGCUGCAUUAGCUAGUUGGUAAGGUAACGGCUUACCAAGGCAACGAUGCAUAGCCGACCUGAGAGGGUGAUCGGCCACACUGGAACUGAGACACGGUCCAGACUCCUACGGGAGGCAGCAGUGGGGAAUCUUCCGCAAUGGGCGAAAGCCUGACGGAGCAACGCCGCGUGAGUGAUGAAGGUCUUCGGAUCGUAAAGCUCUGUUAUUAGGGAAGAACAUAUGUGUAAGUAACUGUGCACAUCUUGACGGUACCUAAUCAGAAAGCCACGGCUAACUACGUG
This 497-nucleotide ribosomal RNA is filed under the name uncultured bacterium. RNAcentral's name for it is "partial 16S ribosomal RNA". It matches the Rfam family "Bacterial small subunit ribosomal RNA", at positions 28 to 507 of the family's 1533-position model. The record is from RNAcentral.